GAUGAACGCUGGCGGCGUGCCUAAUACAUGCAAGUCGAGCGAACGGACGAGAAGCUUGCUUCUCUGAUGUUAGCGGCGGACGGGUGAGUAACACGUGGAUAACCUCCCUAUAAUACUGAGAUAACUUCGGGAAACCGGAGCUAAUACCGGAUAAUAUUUUGAACCGCAUGGUUCAAUAGUGAAAGACGGUCUUGCUGUCACUUAUAGAUGGAUCCGCGCUGCAUUAGCUAGUUGGUAAGGUAACGGCUUACCAAGGCAACGAUGCAUAGCCGACCUGAGAGGGUGAUAGGCCACACUGGAACUGAGACACGGUCAAGACUCCUAAGGGAGGCAGCAGUAGGGAAUCUUCCGCAGUGGGCGAAAGCAUGACGGAGCAACGCCGAGUGAGUGAUGAAGGUCUUCGGAUCGUAAAAAUCUGUUAUUAGGGAAGAACAUAUGUGUAAGGAACUGUGCACAGCGUGACGGUACCGAAUCAGAAAGCCACGGCUAACUACGUG
RNAcentral lists this ribosomal RNA (497 nucleotides) under uncultured bacterium. RNAcentral's name for it is "partial 16S ribosomal RNA". It matches the Rfam family "Bacterial small subunit ribosomal RNA", at positions 28 to 507 of the family's 1533-position model. The record is from RNAcentral.